This is a non-coding RNA of Russula brevipes, 74 nucleotides long. The record is from the annotation of a GenBank genome assembly. Lineage: Eukaryota; Fungi; Basidiomycota; Agaricomycetes; Russulales; Russulaceae.
GGCUAGGUAGCUCAAUAGGUAGAGCACCUGGUAUAUAUAUUCAGGAGGCCUGGGUUCAAACCCCAGUCUGGUCA